Molecule: small nuclear RNA, 184 nt
Organism: Dermacentor silvarum
Lineage: Eukaryota; Metazoa; Arthropoda; Arachnida; Ixodida; Ixodidae
Product: U2 spliceosomal RNA
Exons: 1
Source: RefSeq, a predicted model, not a curated record
AUGGCCGACGCGGAUCAACGUGCGGUAUCUGUUCUUAUCAGCUUAACAUCUGAUACGGGUCGUAUUUGGACCCAAGAUAAUAAACUUAAUUUGUUUUUCAAGCUGCCGGAGUGAUUGAACCCUACUUCACCUCCGCCACAGGUCGGCCCGGUAUUGCACAAUCUUCGGGAUCGACCCACGUUUU